Molecule: unclassified non-coding RNA, 310 nt
Organism: Sarcophilus harrisii (Tasmanian devil)
Lineage: Eukaryota; Metazoa; Chordata; Mammalia; Dasyuromorphia; Dasyuridae
Rfam family: Metazoan signal recognition particle RNA
About the family: The signal recognition particle (SRP) is a universally conserved ribonucleoprotein. It is involved in the co-translational targeting of proteins to membranes. The eukaryotic SRP consists of a 300-nucleotide 7S RNA and six proteins: SRPs 72, 68, 54, 19, 14, and 9.
Source: Ensembl
GCUGGGUGUGAUGGUGCAGGCCUGUAAUCCCUACUUCAUGGGGGAGGUGGAGGCUAGUGAAUCAUUUGAGCUCAGAAGUUCUGAAUAUUUGGAGGGCCAAGCCAAUCAGAAGUCUACAAUAAAUCCUAUAUGGUGAGCCCCUUGCAAGGGCUGGAGGGUAGAGGUUUUCUCUAGGCUGCUAAGGAGAGGUGAACCACUUCAGUUUGGAAACAAAGCAGGUUAAAACUCCUGUGUCCAUCAGUAGUGAGAUUGGGAUUGUCAGUGGCCACUGCUUUUCCAGACUAAGUGAGAUAGGGAGACCCAGUUCCAA